AAGUCGAGUAUUUUUAAGGAUUGCUGAGAUACCCACCUCCACAGCUUCGGAUAUGGGUGAGACGCUAUUGGUCUUCCUGGAGCCCACGCGGAACUUGGCAGCCUUGUAGAUCUUCCAGUACACGAAGAGCACCACACAGAGCGGCAGGUAGAAGGCGCCUACGGUGGAGAACACGGCGUAGGAAGGCUCGCGGCUUACCUGGCACUCCUCGCUGCCCUCAGAGUACGUCUCUCCCCAGCCAAAAAGCAGCGGGGCCAGAGAGAUGACAGCGGAGAGUGCCCAGGUGAGCGCGAUCAUGACGUUGGAGACGCACUUGCGGGUGCGGAGCGUGUAUUCCAUGUGGCGCGUGAUGGACCAGUAGCGGUCCAGGGCUAUGGCCGUCACGUUCCAGAUGCUGGCCGUGCAGCAAAGCACGUCGCACGCGAUCCAAAGCUGGCACAGCCUCCGACCUAGCUGCCAGCGGCGCCCGGACAGCUCGUGCACCAGGCUCAGCGGCAUGACCAGCGCGGCCACCAGGACAUCCGAGACGGCCAUGGAUGCCACCAGGUUGUGGGGCACGCGGUGGAAGGUGCGUACACGGAGGAUGGUCGCCAGCACCAGCAGGUUCCAGGCGAACGUCGCCGCCACCAGAAAGCCCAGCAAGGUGAGAAUAAGCACUCCGAAGACCGAGAGCAGGGGCGAGCUGGGGCGCAGGUCGUCUUUGCCGAGGCUGUGGUUGGUCUCCAAAGGGGAGGGGGUGGAGAGGGAAAAGGAGGUUAGGUUCACAGGUAAAUCCAUCUCUGGGUCAGGAGACCGCCCUGGGGUACUUGCAGAAGGGGUGUUCAGGAGGACUUAAGGCG
RNAcentral lists this long non-coding RNA (839 nucleotides) under Homo sapiens (human). Its description in RNAcentral is "non-protein coding HTR5A-AS1:1". Lineage: Eukaryota; Metazoa; Chordata; Mammalia; Primates; Hominidae. The record is from RNAcentral.